This 492-nucleotide ribosomal RNA is filed under the name uncultured bacterium. RNAcentral describes it as "partial 16S ribosomal RNA". It matches the Rfam family "Bacterial small subunit ribosomal RNA", at positions 29 to 507 of the family's 1533-position model. The record is from RNAcentral.
AGUGAACGCUGGCGGCAUGCCUAACACAUGCAAGUCGAACGACAGCACAGUAAGAGCUUGCUCUUGCGGGUGGCGAGUGGCGGACGGGUGAGGAAUACAUAGGAUACCUCUUUUACGUGGGUGAUAACGUGGGGCAAUUUCUGCUAACACAGCAUAUGUCGUACGGGUGAGUGCAGGGGUUCUUCGCACUUUGUGUGAUUGUAUGAGCCGAUGACGGAUUAGCUAGGUGGCGGGGUAAAGGCCCACCAAGGCGACGAUGCGUAGCUGAUCUGAGAGGAUGAGCGGCCACACUGGAACUGAGACACGGUCCAGACUCCUACGGGAGGCAGCAGUAGGGAAUAUUCGGCAAUGGGCGCAAGCCUGAUCGAGCCAUACCGCGUGAGUGAAGAAGGCCUUCGGGUUGUAAAACUCUUUUAUUAGGGAAGAAAAUAAGGAUAUUUAACCCGGGCUGUUCUGACGGUACCCAAGGAAAAAGCACCGGCUAACUUCGUG